CCCGGGCCUUGUACACACCGCCCGUCACACCAUGGGAGUUGGUUUACCCGAAGGUAGUGCGGCUUAACCGCAAGGAGGCAGCUAACCACGGGUAGGGUCAGCGACUGGGGUG
Molecule: ribosomal RNA, 112 nt
Filed under: uncultured bacterium
Lineage: Bacteria
Description: partial 16S ribosomal RNA
Rfam family: Bacterial small subunit ribosomal RNA
Source: RNAcentral